AUACGGAGGAUGCAAGCGUUAUCCGGAUUUAUUGGGUUUAAAGGGUGCGCAGGCGGGAGAUUAAGUCGGCGGUGAAAUUUUGCAGCUCAACUGUAAAAGUGCCUUCGAAACUGGUUUCCUUGAGUGUAGAUGAAGUAGGCGGAAUUUGUGGUGUAGCGGUGAAAUGCAUAGAUAUCACGAGGAACUCCGAUUGCGCAGGCAGCUUACUAAACUUCUACUGACGCUCAGGCACGAAGGCGUGGGGAUCAAACAGGAUUAGAUACCCUGGUAGGCCACGCAGUAAACGAUGAUUACUAGCUGUUUGCGAUACAAUGUAAGCGGCUGAGCGAAAGCGUUAAGUAAUCCACCUGGGGAGUACGUUCGCAAGAAUGAAACUUAAAGGAAUUGGCGGGG
This 393-nucleotide ribosomal RNA is filed under the name uncultured bacterium. RNAcentral describes it as "partial 16S ribosomal RNA". It matches the Rfam family "Bacterial small subunit ribosomal RNA", at positions 523 to 918 of the family's 1533-position model. The record is from RNAcentral.